ACGGGUGAGUAACGCGUAGGAAUCUACCCAGUAGCGGGGGAUAGCCCGGGGAAACUCGGAUUAAUACCGCAUACGCCCUAUGGGGGAAAGAUGGCCUCUUCUUGAAAGCUAUCGCUAUUGGAGGAGCCUGCGUUGGAUUAGCUAGUUGGUGGGGUAAAAGGCCUACCAAGGCGACGAUCCAUAGCUGGUCUGAGAGGACGAUCAGCCACACUGGGACUGAGACACGGCCCAGACUCCUACGGGAGGCAGCAGUCGGGAAUAUUGGACAAUGGGCGCAAGCCUGAUCCAGCCAUGCCGCGUGUGUGAAGAAGGCCUUAGGGUUGUAAAGCACUUUCAGGAGUGAAGAAAGGCGUUGGGUGAAUAAUCUGACGUUUUGACGUUAGCUCCAGAAGAAGCACCGGCUAACUCCGUG
Molecule: ribosomal RNA, 412 nt
Filed under: uncultured bacterium
Lineage: Bacteria
Description: bacterial SSU rRNA
Rfam family: Bacterial small subunit ribosomal RNA
Source: RNAcentral